This 468-nucleotide ribosomal RNA is filed under the name uncultured bacterium. Its description in RNAcentral is "partial 16S ribosomal RNA". It matches the Rfam family "Bacterial small subunit ribosomal RNA", at positions 28 to 507 of the family's 1533-position model. The record is from RNAcentral.
GACGAACGCUGGCGGCGUGCUUAACACAUGCAAGUCGAACGGAAAGGCCCUGCUUUGGUGGGGUGCUCGAGUGGCGAACGGGUGAGUAACACGUGAGUAACCUGCCCUUGACUGUGGGAUAACUUCAGGAAACUGGGGCUAAUACCGGAAAGGAGCUCCUGCUGCAUGGUGGGGGUUGGAAAGUUUCGGCGGUUGGGGAUGGACUCGCGGCUUAUCAGCUUGUUGGUGUGGUAGUGGCUUACCAAGGCUUUGACGGGUAGCCGGCCUGAGAGGGUGACCGGCCACAUUGGGACUGAGAUACGGCCCAGCCUCCUACCGGAGGCAGCAGUGGGGAGUAUUGCACAAUGGGCUGAAGCCUGAUGCAGCCCCGCCGCGUGCGGGAUGUCGGCCUUCCGGUUGUAAACCGAUUUCGCCUGUCCCGAAGCGUGAGUGACGGUACUGGGUAAAGAAGCACCGGCUAACUACGUG